This 453-nucleotide ribosomal RNA is filed under the name uncultured organism. Its description in RNAcentral is "partial 16S ribosomal RNA". It matches the Rfam family "Bacterial small subunit ribosomal RNA", at positions 331 to 800 of the family's 1533-position model. The record is from RNAcentral.
GUACACUCCUUCGGGAGGCAGCAGUGGGGAAUAUUGGACAAUGGGCGCAAGCCUGAUCCAGCCAUGCCGCGUGAGUGAUGAAGGCCCUAGGGUUGUAAAGCUCUUUCACCGGUGAAGAUAAUGACGGUAACCGGAGAAGAAGCCCCGGCUAACUUCGUGCCAGCAGCCGCGGUAAUACGAAGGGGGCUAGCGUUGUUCGGAUUUACUGGGCGUAAAGCGCACGUAGGCGGACUAUUAAGUCAGGGGUGAAAUCCCGGGGCUCAACCCCGGAACUGCCUUUGAUACUGGUAGUCUUGAGUUCGAGAGAGGUGAGUGGAAUUCCGAGUGUAGAGGUGAAAUUCGUAGAUAUUCGGAGGAACACCAGUGGCGAAGGCGGCUCACUGGCUCGAUACUGACGCUGAGGUGCGAAAGCGUGGGGAGCAAACAGGAUUAGAAACCCUUGUAGUCCCAUGA